RNAcentral lists this ribosomal RNA (352 nucleotides) under uncultured bacterium. RNAcentral describes it as "bacterial SSU rRNA". It matches the Rfam family "Bacterial small subunit ribosomal RNA", at positions 32 to 373 of the family's 1533-position model. The record is from RNAcentral.
AAUCAACGCUGGCGGCGUGCCUAACACAUGCAAGUCUCAGGAGAAAGGGGUAGCAAUAUCCCGAGUAAACUGGCGCAAGGGUGAGUAACACGUAGGCAACCUGCCCUCAGGACGGGAACAACUCCGGGAAACCGGGGCUAAUACCCGAUGAUAUCCUGUCACAGCAUUGUGACAGGAUCAAAUCCCCGCAAGGGGGCCUGUGGAUGGGCCUGCGUCCCAUUAGGUAGUUGGCGGGGUAAUGGCCCACCAAGCCGACGAUGGGUAGCUGGUCUGAGAGGACGAUCAGCCACACUGGAACUGAGACACGGUCCAGACUCCUACGGGAGGCAGCAGUGAGGAAUAUUGCGCAAUG